This 603-nucleotide ribosomal RNA is filed under the name uncultured Verrucomicrobiota bacterium. RNAcentral describes it as "bacterial SSU rRNA". It matches the Rfam family "Bacterial small subunit ribosomal RNA", at positions 83 to 680 of the family's 1533-position model. The record is from RNAcentral. Lineage: Bacteria; Pseudomonadati; Verrucomicrobiota.
UAGGUUGAGCCAGUGGCGAACGGGUGCGUAACACGUGAGUCAUCUGCCUGAAAGUGGGGGAUAGCUCGCCGAAAGGCGAAUUAAUACCGCAUGUGCCCCGAAGCAAUUCGGGGUAAAGCCGGGGCAACCUGGCGCUUUUAGAUGAGCUCGCGGCCUAUCAGCUUGUUGGUAAGGUAACGGCUUACCAAGGCUUCGACGGGUAGCUGGUCUGAGAGGACGACCAGCCACACUGGAACUGAGACACGGUCCAGACACCUACGGGUGGCAGCAGUCGAGAAUUUUUCUCAAUGGGGGAAACCCUGAAGGAGCGACGCCGCGUGGAGGAUGAAGGCUUUCGGGUUGUAAACUCCUGUCAUUUGGGAACAAUACCUUACGUUAACUGCGUGGAGGUUUGAUAGUACCAGAAGAGGAAGAGACGGCUAACUCUGUGCCAGCAGCCGCGGUAAUACAGAGGUCUCGAGCGUUGUUCGGAUUCAUUGGGCGUAAAGGGCGCGUAGGCUGCGGGGCAAGUCGGGUGUGAAAUCUCAGAGCUCAACUCUGAAACUGCACUCGAUACUGCUUUGCUAGAGGACUGGAGAGGAGAUUGGAAUUCUCGGUGUAGCA